CACUGAGAAGCUAUGAAGCAACAGCCUUUUAAGCUGCAGACAGGUGAACAUCACCCUCAGUGA
This 63-nucleotide transfer RNA is filed under the name Synapturanus sp. USNM 588794. Its description in RNAcentral is "tRNA-Lys". The record is from RNAcentral. Lineage: Eukaryota; Metazoa; Chordata; Amphibia; Anura; Microhylidae.